CAGGUAUGUGGGGACGUGUGCGGGACAUGUGUGGGGACAGGUGUGUGGGGACAGGUUAGGUACAGGUGUGUGGGGACUGAUACUGCUCAGGAACAGCUUUGUAUAUGGUAAUCUGAGGAGUGUGAAGUUUUCUGUCCCGGGCAUCCUUGCCUGCUUAGGUUAUCCCUCUUGUAUUCAUAACUGCCCUUUCUCUAGAUCUGAAAGUCCAUCCUAAAGCUACACUGAACACAUGCCCACUAUGCACUCACACUCGGACUUGUGUGUUAAGUUAUUAUGAUGCGCUGUGUUCUGCUCGCUGUGUGUUCACUUAGACGUACACUCUGUCCCUUGCAUUGUUCAUCAAUCCAUCCUAUAUCUAAGCCGCCUAUUUCUGGCCAGUGUUGCAGGGGGUGCUGGAGCCUAUCCCAGCAUGCAUUGGGCAGGAGACAGGAAUAUGCGUAGAUUUGAGGGCCACGUUGGAAUAUCCUUGACAGAGCAACCACACAUUAGAGCUUUUAAUAAAUCAAGACUAACUUCUUACGUUUCCUUA
Long non-coding RNA from Anguilla anguilla (European eel), 529 nucleotides. RefSeq lists it as uncharacterized. The transcript is spliced from 2 exons. The record is from RefSeq and is a predicted model, not a curated record. Lineage: Eukaryota; Metazoa; Chordata; Actinopteri; Anguilliformes; Anguillidae.